Molecule: unclassified non-coding RNA, 285 nt
Filed under: plant metagenome
Description: partial contains small subunit ribosomal RNA, internal transcribed spacer 1, and 5.8S ribosomal RNA
Rfam family: Eukaryotic small subunit ribosomal RNA (bases 1-54)
Source: RNAcentral
GGAAAUAAAAGUCGUAACAAGGUUUCCGUAGGUGAACCUGCGGAAGGAUCAUUAUUGUAUAACCGAGGUGCGAGGGCUGUCGCUGACCCGAAAGGUCGUGCACGCCCGAGUGCCCUCACACACAUCCAUCUCACCCCUAUGUGCACCACCGCGUGGGUCCCCCUUUGGCUUGUUCGGAGGGGGACUUACGUUUUCACGCAAACUUUGUAUGCAGUGUAGAAUGUAUUUUUUGUUUUUGCGAUCACGCAAUCAAUACAACUUUCAACAACGGAUCUCUUGGCUCUC